GAUGAAGAACGUAGCGAAAUGCGAUACGUAAUGUGAAUUGCAGAAUUCAGUGAAUCAUCGAGUCUUUGAACGCACAUUGCGCCCCCUGGUAUUCCGGGGGGCAUGCCUGUCCGAGCGUCAUUGCUGCCCUCAAGCACGGCUUGUGUGUUGGGCCUCCGUCCUCCUCCCGGGGGACGGGCCCGAAAGGCAGCGGCGGCACCGCGUCCGGUCCUCGAGCGUAUGGGGCUUCGUCACCCGCUCUUGUAGGCCCGGCCGGCGCUUGCCGACACAUCAAUCUUUUUUCCAGGUUGACCUCGGAUCAGGUAGGGAUACCCGCUGAACUUAAGCAUAUCAUAGGCGGAGGA
RNAcentral lists this unclassified non-coding RNA (344 nucleotides) under soil metagenome. RNAcentral describes it as "partial contains 5.8S ribosomal RNA, internal transcribed spacer 2, and large subunit ribosomal RNA". The stretch from base 1 to 120 matches the Rfam family "5.8S ribosomal RNA", at positions 35 to 154 of the family's 154-position model. The record is from RNAcentral.